UUACAUUUCAAUACAAACAAAAUUUAUAUACAAAAUACAAAAUUAUUAAUUUAUAGCAAAAUUUUAAAUUUAUAACAAAAAUAUUUAAUCCAAAAUUAUUUUUCCCUGAAAACUAGUCACAUUUGGAAUUUUUUGUUAAAUUCAUUAUUAUUAAAUUUUUUCGAAAUAAAGCUAUUAAUAUAUUCACUCCAAUUGCACAAUAACCCUUCCUUCGUAUCACGCUUAAUCCCUUCUUUCACUGGCAGUCGCUCUUCUAUUAAAUUUCUGCUGUACUUGCACUUGACCCAGCUGUUCUAGCUUCAUUUCGGCGGUGCAAAAGAGUUGCAAUGCUUUUUGCAUGACAAAAACAAAUCCCACAAAUAAGAAGUUGCAGGCGAUCGGAUGAUUUUGCAGCAACUUCAACAUUUUCGUUUUUUAAUAUUAAUUUUGUAUUCUAAGUAAAUCGAGUUUAAGCGGCGUGAACGCACAAGCACUGGUUUAAUGCGGCGGCGAAGAGUGACUGAUAUUUGGCAGUGAAGUGUUGAGGGAUUAAGAGCCAAAGCAAGCAGUCAAUGAAGCAGGCGGUUGAAACAUAUCAUAAACGCCAAAAAGUUUUCGGAGGAGCUGCCAAUAGCAAAACAACGUGCCGUGAUUGGUUUCGUUGCUUUAAACAAGGCGAUUUUGAAGGAAGACCAAAAAUCUUUGAAGGCGGUGAAUUGGAGAUGUUGCUCAAUGAGGAUCCAU
Long non-coding RNA from Bactrocera dorsalis (oriental fruit fly), 723 nucleotides. RefSeq lists it as uncharacterized. The transcript is spliced from 2 exons. NCBI's taxonomy places the organism in Eukaryota, Metazoa, Arthropoda, Insecta, Diptera, Tephritidae. The record is from RefSeq and is a predicted model, not a curated record.